UUUUGUUGGAAUCUACAGAAAAUCAUGGAAAUGAAAGGUAUCUGUGGCGAUACUAUAAUGAAGUCAGUUACUCUCCAGUUACUAGAAAGUCAGUGACUGUCAAAACAAUGUUCCUGAGCACAAGCACAAGCUGGGAGAGUUUCCCCUCUUGUGUAAAUGGCCUCCUAAAGGAGGAAGAGAAAAAAAGGAGAAAGCAAAGAGAGAAGAAGAGGAAGAGGAUGAAGGGAAGAAGGAAGACAAGGAGGAGAGGAAGUCAAGAAGAGGAAGAGGAGGAUGAGGAAGAGGAACAGGAAAGAUCAUUCCUUCACAGUCAUUUAAGGCUUAAAGUUUACCCAUAGUACCUGGUACACCAGUUUUCUUCUCAGAAAUCAAAUAUGCAUCUUAAAUAGUUUCUUUCUAGAGAGGGAGAGAGAAAGAAAGCUGGAUUGAUGAGGAGGUGGAGAGGAUCACAGAGGGGGGAAGAAAAAGAAAACUUUUUGCUUAUAGGAUCCUAAAAGAAUAUGAAGAGCAACUGGAAAAAUACCCCAACAUAGUCAGAAGAAGAUCAUGAGCCAUAGAAGUCCCAACUCUGCAUGUCUCAGCCUUAAGUAAUCCUUGAAUACUGCUCUUCAGUUGCCAUCAUCAAUAUUUACCACAACCAAAUUGUGUCACUGAUAAAAGAAAAAACAACCUACCAAACAGUCAGAAUUAAAGCAGCUGCAAUUUUUUCCCAAAGAAACCUGAUUUUACAUAAUUAAAAACAAAUAUUUUUCACAAAAA
Non-coding RNA from Rattus norvegicus (Norway rat), 759 nucleotides. The record is from RefSeq and is a predicted model, not a curated record. NCBI's taxonomy places the organism in Eukaryota, Metazoa, Chordata, Mammalia, Rodentia, Muridae.